This 254-nucleotide ribosomal RNA is filed under the name uncultured bacterium. RNAcentral's name for it is "partial 16S ribosomal RNA". It matches the Rfam family "Bacterial small subunit ribosomal RNA", at positions 524 to 776 of the family's 1533-position model. The record is from RNAcentral.
UACAGAGGGUGCAAGCGUUGUUCGGAAUUAUUGGGCGUAAAGCGCGUGUAGGCGGCUUUGCAAGUCGGGUGUGAAAGCCCUCAGCUCAACUGAGGAAGUGCGCCCGAAACUGCAGAGCUUGAGUGCCGGAGAGGGUGGCGGAAUUCCCCAAGUAGAGGUGAAAUUCGUAGAUAUGGGGAGGAACACCGGUGGCGAAAGGCGGCGACCUGGGUAGAUACUGACGCUGAGGCGCGAAAGCGUGGGGAGCAAACAGG